Molecule: transfer RNA, 72 nt
Filed under: Bos taurus (domestic cattle)
Lineage: Eukaryota; Metazoa; Chordata; Mammalia; Artiodactyla; Bovidae
Also listed under: 1 other name
Rfam family: tRNA
About the family: Transfer RNA (tRNA) molecules are approximately 80 nucleotides in length.
Source: Rfam by way of RNAcentral
UCCCUCAUAGCCUAGUCGGUAAAGAAUCUGCCUGCAAUGCAGAAGACCGGGGUUCAAUUCCUGGGUCGGGAA